ACAGAGUUUGAUGAUGGCUCAGGAUGAACGCUAGCGGCAGGCUUAACACAUGCAAGUCGAGGCGUAUAGUUCUUCGGAACUGGAGACCGGCGCACGGGUGCGUAACAUAUGCAAUCUACCUUUCACAGAGGGAUAGCCCAGAGAAAUUUGGAUUACUACCUCAUAGUAUUAUAGAGUGGCAUCACUUUAUAAUUAAAGAUUUAUCGGUGAAAGAUGAGCAUGCGUCGGAUUAGUUAGUUGGUAAGGUAACGGCUUACCAAGACUACGAUGGGUAGGGGUCCUGAGAGGGAGAUCCCCCACUAGGGUACUGAGACACGGACCAGACUCCUACGGGAGGCAGCAGUGAGGAAUAUUGGACAAUGGGCGCAAGCCUCUUCCAGCCAUGCCGCGUGCAGGAUGACGGUCCUAUGGAUUGUAAACUGCUUUUAUACAGGAAGAAACACUGGUUCGUGAACCAGCUUGACGGUACUGUAAGAAUAAUGGAUCGGCUAACUCCGUGCCAGUAGCCGCGGUAAUACGGAGGAUCCAAGCGUUAUCCGGAAUCAUUGGGUUUAAAGGGUCCGUAGGCGGUCGUUAGUAAGUCAGUGGUGAAAGCCCAUCGCUCAACGGUGGAACGGCCAUUGAAUACUGCUAGACUUGAAUUAUUAGGAAGUAACUAGAAUAUGUAGUGUAGCGGUGAAAUGCUUAGAGAUUACAUGGAAUACCAAUUGCGAUCAGGCAGGUUACUACUAAUUGAUUGACGCUGAUGGACGAAAGCGUGGGGUAGCGAACAGGAUUAGAUACCCUGGUAGUCCACGCCGUAAACGAUGGAUACUAGCUGUUGGGAGCAAUCUCAGUGGCUAACCGCGAAAGUGAUAAGUAUCCCACCUGGGGAGUACGAACGCAAGUUUGAAACUCAAAGGAAUUGACGGGGCCCCGCACAAGCGGUGGAGCAUGUGGUUUAAUUCGAUGAUACGCGAGGAACCUUACCAAGGCUUAAAUGUAGAUUGACCGGUUAGGAAACAGACUUUUCGCAAGACAAUUUACAAGGUGCUGCAUGGUUGUCGUCAGCUCGUGCCGUGAGGUGUCAGGUUAAGUCCUAUAACGAGCGCAACUUGUUAGUUGCCAGCGAGUCAAGUCGGGAACUCUAACAAGAUGGCCAGUGUAAACUGUGAGGAAGGUGGGGAUGACGUCAAAUCAUCACGGCCGGUACGCCUUGGGCUACACACGUGCUACAAUGGACGGUACCUAGAGCAGCCACUGGGCAACCAGGAGCGAAUCUACAAAACCGUUCUCAGUUCCAUCGGAGUCUGCAACUCGACUCCGUGAAGCUGGAAUCGCUAGUAAUCGGAUAUCAGCCAUGAUCCGGUGAAUACGUUCCCGGGCCCUGUACACACCGCCCGUCAAGCCAUGGAAGCUGGGGGUGCCUGAAGUCGGUGACCGCACAGAGCUGCCUAGGGUAAAACUGGUAACUAGGGCUAAGUCGUAACAAAGGUAACGC
This 1480-nucleotide ribosomal RNA is filed under the name uncultured Flavobacterium sp. RNAcentral's name for it is "bacterial SSU rRNA". It matches the Rfam family "Bacterial small subunit ribosomal RNA". Lineage: Bacteria; Pseudomonadati; Bacteroidota; Flavobacteriia; Flavobacteriales; Flavobacteriaceae. The record is from RNAcentral.